RNAcentral lists this ribosomal RNA (443 nucleotides) under uncultured bacterium. RNAcentral describes it as "SSU rRNA". It matches the Rfam family "Bacterial small subunit ribosomal RNA", at positions 26 to 518 of the family's 1533-position model. The record is from RNAcentral.
AGAGCGAACGCUGGCGGCAGGCCUAACACAUGCAAGUCGAGCGCCCCGCAAGGGGAGCGGCAGACGGGAGAGUAACACGUGGGAACGUACCCUUCAGUUCGGAACAACCCAGGGAAACUUGGGCUAAUACCGAAUACGUCCGUAAGGAGAAAGAUUUAUCGCUGAAGGAUCGGCCCGCGUCUGAUUAGCUUGUUGGUGAGGUAACGGCUCACCAAGGCGACGAUCAGUAGCUGGUCUGAGAGGAUGAUCAGCCUCACUGGGACUGAGACACGGCCCAGACUCCUACGGGAGGCAGCAGUGGGGAAUAUUGGACAAUGGGCGCAAGCCUGAUCCAGCCAUGCCGCGUGGGUGAUGAAGGCCCUAGGGUUGUAAAGCCCUUUCGCCCGCGACGAUGAUGACGGUAGCGGGAGAGAAGCCCCGGCUAACUUCGCGCCAGCAGCCGC